AGAGUUUGAUCAUGGCUCAGAUUGAACGCUGGCGGCAGGCCUAACACAUGCAAGUCGAACGGUAACAGGAAGCAGCUUGCUGCUUCGCUGACGAGUGGCGGACGGGUGAGUAAUGUCUGGGAAACUGCCUGAUGGAGGGGGAUAACUACUGGAAACGGUAGCUAAUACCGCAUAAUGUCGCAAGACCAAAGAGGGGGACCUUAGGGCCUCUUGCCAUCGGAUGUGCCCAGAUGGGAUUAGCUUGUUGGUGGGGUAACGGCUCACCAAGGCGACGAUCCCUAGCUGGUCUGAGAGGAUGACCAGCCACACUGGAACUGAGACACGGUCCAGACUCCUACGGGAGGCAGCAGUGGGGAAUAUUGCACAAUGGGCGCAAGCCUGAUGCAGCCAUGCCGCGUGUAUGAAGAAGGCCUUCGGGUUGUAAAGUACUUUCAGCGGGGAGGAAGGGAGUAAAGUUAAUACCUUUGCUCAUUGACGUUAUCCGCAGAAGAAGCACCGGCUAACUCCGUGCCAGCAGCCGCGGUAAUACGGAGGGUGCAAGCGUUAAUCGGAAUUACUGGGCGUAAAGCGCACGCAGGCGGUUUGUUAAGUCAGAUGUGAAAUCCCCGGGCUCAACCUGGGAACUGCAUCUGAUACUGGCAAGCUUGAGUCUCGUAGAGGGGGGUAGAAUUCCAGGUGUAGCGGUGAAAUGCGUAGAGAUCUGGAGGAAUACCGGUGGCGAAGGCGGCCCCCUGGACGAAGACUGACGCUCAGGUGCGAAAGCGUGGGGAGCAAACAGGAUUAGAUACCCUGGUAGUCCACGCCGUAAACGAUGUCGACUUGGAGGUUGUGCCCUUGAGGCGUGGCUUCCGGAGCUAACGCGUUAAGUCGACCGCCUGGGGAGUACGGCCGCAAGGUUAAAACUCAAAUGAAUUGACGGGGGCCCGCACAAGCGGUGGAGCAUGUGGUUUAAUUCGAUGCAACGCGAAGAACCUUACCUGGUCUUGACAUCCACGGAAGUUUUCAGAGAUGAGAAUGUGCCUUCGGGAACCGUGAGACAGGUGCUGCAUGGCUGUCGUCAGCUCGUGUUGUGAAAUGUUGGGUUAAGUCCCGCAACGAGCGCAACCCUUAUCCUUUGUUGCCAGCGGUCCGGCCGGGAACUCAAAGGAGACUGCCAGUGAUAAACUGGAGGAAGGUGGGGAUGACGUCAAGUCAUCAUGGCCCUUACGACCAGGGCUACACACGUGCUACAAUGGCGCAUACAAAGAGAAGCGACCUCGCGAGAGCAAGCGGACCUCAUAAAGUGCGUCGUAGUCCGGAUUGGAGUCUGCAACUCGACUCCAUGAAGUCGGAAUCGCUAGUAAUCGUGGAUCAGAAUGCCACGGUGAAUACGUUCCCGGGCCUUGUACACACCGCCCGUCACACCAUGGGAGUGGGUUGCAAAAGAAGUAGGUAGCUUAACCUUCGGGAGGGCGCUUACCACUUUGUGAUUCAUGACUGGGGUGAAGUCGUAACAAGGUAACCGUAGGGGAACCUGCGGUUGGAUCACCU
This 1530-nucleotide ribosomal RNA is filed under the name Shigella dysenteriae. RNAcentral's name for it is "bacterial SSU rRNA". It matches the Rfam family "Bacterial small subunit ribosomal RNA". The record is from RNAcentral. Lineage: Bacteria; Pseudomonadati; Pseudomonadota; Gammaproteobacteria; Enterobacterales; Enterobacteriaceae.